Molecule: ribosomal RNA, 474 nt
Filed under: uncultured bacterium
Lineage: Bacteria
Description: bacterial SSU rRNA
Rfam family: Bacterial small subunit ribosomal RNA
Source: RNAcentral
AUUGAACGCUGGCGGCAUGCUUUACACAUGCAAGUCGAACGGCAGCACAGGGAGCUUGCUCCCGGGUGGCGAGUGGCGCACGGGUGAGUAAUACAUCGGAACGUGUCCUGUUGUGGGGGAUAACUGCUCGAAAGGGUGGCUAAUACCGCAUGAGACCUGAGGGUGAAAGCGGGGGAUCGCAAGACCUCGCGCAAUUGGAGCGGCCGAUGCCCGAUUAGCUAGUUGGUGAGGUAAAGGCUCACCAAGGCGACGAUCGGUAGCUGGUCUGAGAGGACGACCAGCCACACUGGGACUGAGACACGGCCCAGACUCCUACGGGAGGCAGCAGUGGGGAAUAUUGCACAAUGGGCGCAAGCCUGAUGCAGCAACGCCGCGUGGAGGAAGACGGUUUUCGGAUUGUAAACUCCUGUUCUUAGUGAAGAAUAAUGACGGUAGCUAAGGAGCAAGCCACGGCUAACUCCGUGCCAGCAGCCG